UGAGUAACCUGCCCUUCACUCUGGGAUAACUCCAGGAAACCGGGGCUAAUACUGGAUAUGACUCGAACAGGCAUCUGUUUCGGGUGGAAAGAUUUAUUGGUGGAGGAUGGACUCGCGGCCUAUCAGCUUGUUGGUGAGGUAAUGGCUCACCAAGGCGACGACGGGUAGCCGGCCUGAGAGGGCGAUCGGCCACACUGGGACUGAGACACGGCCCAGACUCCUACGGGAGG
This 230-nucleotide ribosomal RNA is filed under the name uncultured bacterium. Its description in RNAcentral is "partial 16S ribosomal RNA". It matches the Rfam family "Bacterial small subunit ribosomal RNA", at positions 118 to 348 of the family's 1533-position model. The record is from RNAcentral.